AUACGGAGGGGGCUAGCGUUGUUCGGAAUCACUGGGCGUAAAGCGCACGUAGGCUGACUGGUCAGUUGAGGGUGAAAUCCCAAGGCUCAACCUUGGAACGGCCCUCAAUACUACCAGUCUCGAGUCCGGGAGAGGUGAGUGGAAUUCCUAGUGUAGAGGUGAAAUUCGUAGAUAUUAGGAAGAACACCAGUGGCGAAGGCGGCUCACUGGCCCGGUACUGACGCUGAGGUGCGAAAGCGUGGGGAGCAAACAGGAUUAGAAACCCCGGUAGUCC
This 274-nucleotide ribosomal RNA is filed under the name uncultured bacterium. RNAcentral's name for it is "partial 16S ribosomal RNA". It matches the Rfam family "Bacterial small subunit ribosomal RNA", at positions 523 to 796 of the family's 1533-position model. The record is from RNAcentral.